Molecule: non-coding RNA, 725 nt
Filed under: Gynaikothrips uzeli
Lineage: Eukaryota; Metazoa; Arthropoda; Insecta; Thysanoptera; Phlaeothripidae
Source: RNAcentral
GAUAGAUUUAAUUUUAGUCUAAAUAUUAAUAUAAAAAAUUAUGCAUAUAAAUUAAAAUUAAUAACUAAAAAUUUAGUGUAAAAUAUUUUUAAAUAAGGAAACUUAAUUAAAUUUUUUAUUUUCAAAUUUUUGUGCCAGAAGUUUCGGUUAAACAAAUAAUUAAUUAAUAAUUAUUUAGUAGUUAUAAAUAAAUUUAAGUUAAGAAAAAUUGUGUUAAAUUUUUGGUUAAAUAAUUAAUAAAUAAUUUAAUUUCUUUAAAAUUUUAAUUUAUGAAAUAAAUAAAAAGACUAGGAUUAGAUACCCUAUUAAAAUUUAAUAUAAAAACUAAAUUAUUAAAAUUUUGAUAUUUAAAAUUAAAAAAUAUGGCAGUAUAAUAACUUAAUUAGGGAAUUUUGUUUAUGAAUUGAUAAUACACAAAAUACCUUACUUUAUUUCUAAUUUAUUUAUUUCCGUUUGAAAAGUUAAUAUUAAAUUUAAUUUUAAAUAAUUUUUUUUUUUUAAUUCAGGUCAAUAUAUAGUUUAUAAUAAAGCUUAAAUGAAAUACAUUAAAUAAAUUAUAAAUUAGAUUGUUUACUUAAAAUAAUCAUGAAACAGAACUUAAAAGUAAUAAAAAUUUAGAAUAAUUUUAUGAAUGAGUAAUUUUAUAUGUACAAAUUGCCCGUCAUUCUUAUAAAUUAGACAAGUCGUAACAUAGUAAAUGUAUUGGAAAAUGUAUUUAGAAAAUA